Molecule: unclassified non-coding RNA, 251 nt
Filed under: Hevea brasiliensis (rubber tree)
Lineage: Eukaryota; Viridiplantae; Streptophyta; Magnoliopsida; Malpighiales; Euphorbiaceae
Source: RNAcentral
AUUGAAAAAACACAAACAUAUAUAUACUGUCACACAACAGACUUUUUGAAUGCUGCAAUAGCAAGAAUGAUUGAUGCGGUUUGGACUAGCUGAUUGCAGCCUGUAUUUGAAAAAGAUCUUUACAUCAUGGAAGGUGUUCCAUCAUUGGGAGGUUGAGUGGCAGUAUAUAUAUGUUUGUGUUUUUUCAAUAGCUUGCAGUCAGUUCAACUUGAUCUUUUGAGCAGUGAUUUGUUCUGUUUCUUGGAAACCCG